GACGAACGCUGGCGGCGUGCUUAACACAUGCAAGUCGAACGGAAAGGCCUUUUCGGAGGUACUCGAGUGGCGAACGGGUGAGUAACACGUGGGUGAUCUGCCCUGCACUCUGGGAUAAGCCUGAGAAACUGGGUCUAAUACCGGAUAGGACCGCACUUUAGUGUGUGUGGUGGAAAGUUUUUUCGGUGUAGGAUGAGCCCGCGGCCUAUCAGCUUGUUGGUGGGGUAAUGGCCUACCAAGGCGGCGACGGGUAGCCGGACUGAGAGGUUGGUCGGCCACAUUGGGACUGAGAUACGGCCCAGACUCCUACGGGAGGCAGCAGUGGGGAAUAUUGCACAAUGGGCGCAAGCCUGAUGCAGCGACGCCGCGUGGGGGAUGACGGCCUUCGGGUUGUAAACUCCUUUCGCCAGGGACGAAGCGUUUUGUGACGGUACCUGGAGAAGAAGCACCGGCUAACUACGUG
This 463-nucleotide ribosomal RNA is filed under the name uncultured bacterium. Its description in RNAcentral is "partial 16S ribosomal RNA". It matches the Rfam family "Bacterial small subunit ribosomal RNA", at positions 28 to 507 of the family's 1533-position model. The record is from RNAcentral.